RNAcentral lists this transfer RNA (68 nucleotides) under Marmota monax (woodchuck). Its description in RNAcentral is "tRNA.Val". Lineage: Eukaryota; Metazoa; Chordata; Mammalia; Rodentia; Sciuridae. The record is from RNAcentral.
GUUGUGGCUCAGUGGUAGAGCGCUUGCCUAACACACCUGAGACACUGGGUUUGAUUUCCAGCACCACA